GGAUUAUUUUAAAAAAUUAUAAUAAAAUCAAAUAAAAUCAAAUUUACAGAUCGCGUGCAAAGCCCGCGAAUGUGGCAGUGGGUAUAUAAGCUGGGGUCUACGCACUCGCUCAGUGCGCGCACAGCCCGGCUUCGUUCUGUUUGUCAUCGCUUGACAGAGUUUUCCUGAGCAUCAGCAUAACCGACCCCAACGGCUCUUUUCAGAGCCAAAUAACAGAGCAUCUUUGGCUUUCAUCUGCAUAAACAGCUUUUAAGAGUCAUCAAAGACUACGGCAUCUUUACUGUUGCCAUAUUCUGCUUCCUCUUGUUUUUUUGCUUAUACUGCUAAAAGAGGACAAUACCAGCAGAGAUGGGAGUCAAAUAUGUUCAAGUCAAAACCAAGUCCUUACCAUCAAAUCUUGAUUCAACUCUCAAGUCACAAUGCACACAAAUGUUGGUUCCUGCUAAGGAUCAAGUCAAGUUUCACAAUACAGUACCAAGUUAUAAAACGUGGCCACAAGACCUGGGUUUAUGACACUUCUGAGUUUAUGUUACAUUAUACCCAUAUUAUAUCUUAUAUGCUUACAGUCUUGAACAUAAAUGUUUGUUACAUUAUUCAUACACUAGUAAAUAAGAGUCUUUAUAGAAA
This is a long non-coding RNA of Cyprinus carpio carpio, 627 nucleotides long. The record is from Ensembl. Lineage: Eukaryota; Metazoa; Chordata; Actinopteri; Cypriniformes; Cyprinidae.